RNAcentral lists this ribosomal RNA (1287 nucleotides) under metagenome. RNAcentral describes it as "bacterial SSU rRNA". It matches the Rfam family "Bacterial small subunit ribosomal RNA", at positions 242 to 1520 of the family's 1533-position model. The record is from RNAcentral.
UAGCUAGUUGGUGAGGUAAAGGCUUACCAAGGCGACGAUCUGUAGCGGGUCUGAGAGGAUGAUCCGCCACACUGGAACUGAGACACGGUCCAGACUCCUACGGGAGGCAGCAGUGGGGAAUUUUGGACAAUGGGGGCAACCCUGAUCCAGCCAUGCCGCGUGAGUGAAGAAGGCCUUCGGGUUGUAAAGCUCUUUCGGCCGGGAAGAAAUCGCAUGGGUCAAUACCCUGUGUGGAUGACGGUACCGGAAUAAGAAGCACCGGCUAACUACGUGCCAGCAGCCGCGGUAAUACGUAGGGUGCGAGCGUUAAUCGGAAUUACUGGGCGUAAGGCGUGCGCAGGCGGUUUUGUAAGACAGGCGUGAAAUCCCCGGGCUUAACCUGGGAACUGCGUUUGUGACUGCAAGGCUAGAGUACGGCAGAGGGGGGUGGAAUUCCACGUGUAGCAGUGAAAUGCGUAGAGAUGUGGAGGAACACCAAUGGCGAAGGCAGCCCCCUGGGUCGAUACUGACGCUCAUGCACGAAAGCGUGGGUAGCAAACAGGAUUAGAUACCCUGGUAGUCCACGCCCUAAACUAUGUCAACUAGGUGUUGGGUGGGUAAAACCAUUUAGUACCGUAGCUAACGCGUGAAGUUGACCGCCUGGGGAGUACGGCCGCAAGGUUAAAACUCAAAGGAAUUGACGGGGACCCGCACAAGCGGUGGAUGAUGUGGAUUAAUUCGAUGCAACGCGAAAAACCUUACCUACCCUUGACAUGCCAGGAACUUGCCAGAGAUGGCUUGGUGCCCGAAAGGGAGCCUGGACACAGGUGCUGCAUGGCUGUCGUCAGCUCGUGUCGUGAGAUGUUGGGUUAAGUCCCGCAACGAGCGCAACCCUUGUCGUUAAUUGCCAUCAUUUGGUUGGGCACUUUAACGAGACUGCCGGUGACAAACCGGAGGAAGGUGGGGAUGACGUCAAGUCCUCAUGGCCCUUAUGGGUAGGGCUUCACACGUCAUACAAUGGUCGGUACAAAGGGUUGCCAAGCCGCGAGGCGGAGCCAAUCCCAGAAAGCCGAUCGUAGUCCGGAUUGCAGGCUGCAACUCGCCUGCAUGAAGUCGGAAUCGCUAGUAAUCGUGGAUCAGCAUGUCACGGUGAAUACGUUCCCGGGUCUUGUACACACCGCCCGUCACACCAUGGGAGCGGGUUCCGCCAGAAGUAGGUAGCCUAACCGCAAGGGGGGCGCUUACCACGGCGGGGUUCGUGACUGGGGUGAAGUCGUAACAAGGUAGCCGUAGGGGAACCUGCGGCUG